GAGCAUCGCUGGAGAGAGGGAGCCAGCCACCGGGAAGCGCCAGGCCGGUGAACCGGAUUGCUCCGGCGGUGAGAGUGAAAACAUCAGUUCCUGGAACAGUAGAACUGAAGCCAUGGAGCAACAAAUUCCAGCUGUUUCUCAAGGAUCAAUCCACCAUGUUUUGAGGAUGUUGAGGAGCCUUGGUGCAGUGUUUGAAUGCUUCUGGGAACAGUUGGCAUCCUAGCCAGUCUGCAUGCUGCAGGGAUGUUUCUUGCCCAAAUGUGGCACCAAUAGUGGAGUAGACACACGUGGCUGGACAUCCCAAAUACAAGAUUACUUUAGCACCAUUUCAAAGUGAUUUGUACUGUAAGAAAAUUCUGGAUAUGCUGCCACUUCAUUAGCUCUGUGCUGUGUGCUAAAGAAGAUGAGGAGAAUGACCAGGGAAAAGAGUGCAGCGUGAAGUGCUACUGUGACACUUACGUGACAGGCUUUUCAUUCAAUCCUAACUAGUGUUGACAAAUGACUUAUGUUUCUGCAGAAUAGGAAAUUCAGUCAUCAUGUUGCUUAAAUCUAUAAAGAAGAAAUAUCCUGUGGCUUAGGAGUGGAGAGAAAGAACUAAUUUGGUGAUUCUUCCACUGGAUGCAGCUUUCGGCACACUCGACAGAUACCAGUGCAUCACCUAAUCCUUGGUGUUAUGAAGUGGGCUAGAAAUGUGAAAAACCCAUUAAGAUUGGCCUGUCAUCAAGGUAGGAGUUAAAAAUCCAUUAUUAAAAUGUAUAUAUAGUUGUCAUAGAUACUAUGGGAUGUCCACAGAAACACCCAUGCUAACGAGCACCUGCAACCCAACUGUGAGAAAUAGUAGGGUUACCUUGAAAAAGAAAAGGCUACCUUGCUUAUAUAGAAAAAAAUAAAGGGCAACUUUCACCUGUCAAGAAGAAAAUCAAUAAUGUGGAAGCUCAAAUUUCUGCUUAUAGAACUGCUGUUCCAAACACUUAUUUCAAUGUACAUGUAUUUGCUGCUCUAUUAGGUGUAGAGAGCAGUUGAUUUGUGCCAGUCCUGCUCAUGAGCAUGGAAAGAGGUUUCUUAGUUUUAUGAACCAGUGAUGGGCAGCUCUUUUGGGAGGAGGUUGCUUGGUUGGUUUUCCCUUCCCGUGUUGGGGCUCCAGGCUUUUGCUCGUGCUCUGGAUACAGACAGACCUGUAUUGAUGAUGCCUUAAACUUCACCUGGAAGUUUAGGUUGGCUGUGCACGUUACAGGUUCCUACAAUCUGUUUGUCAAACCCAUCCCGUCGUGUGCGUUCAAACAUCAAAUGAAACUGGUUUCAUCUUGAAACAAAAUACAAAAA
RNAcentral lists this long non-coding RNA (1323 nucleotides) under Strigops habroptila (Kakapo). Its description in RNAcentral is "lncRNA (ENSSHBG00005013960.1)". Lineage: Eukaryota; Metazoa; Chordata; Aves; Psittaciformes; Psittacidae. The record is from RNAcentral.